Small nuclear RNA from Nycticebus coucang (slow loris), 112 nucleotides. NCBI's taxonomy places the organism in Eukaryota, Metazoa, Chordata, Mammalia, Primates, Lorisidae. The record is from RefSeq and is a predicted model, not a curated record.
GUGCUCGCUUCAGCAGCACAUAUACUAAAAUUGGAAUGAUACGGAGAAGAUUAGCAUGGCCCCUGCGCAAGGAUGUAGUGACAUUCAGCAGUGAAGUAUGUAGCAGUUUUUU